CAGUUGGGGAUAAUUUAUUUUUCUGUUGAAGGGUUUGAUAUUUAUUAGCACGGCAGCAAGCCGGUCAGCAGAGAUCCACACUCCAGGGGACGGGCUCUGUGUCCAGCUUCGUGGGCUUCUCCAUCCACCCUCUUCUGCUCUGGAGGCAGCAACCCGAGUACUCUGUCUCUUGGAGAAGGAAGUUCAGGGUAGUCUCUUCCCCUGGGGGGCUGGGCCCCCAGCUGUGAGGGUACAAGGCCAGCCUUCCCCAGCACAGAGGUAAGAUCCCAGAUCCUUCUCUCUCUUCCUCAGGAGAGCCAGCAAGACCUAUGGCAUGCAGAGAAGGACUCAUCACAGAAAUGCAUGCAUCUGUGAGGACAACACCUUGCCUCGGCAGCCAAAGAGUAUCUGGUCGGCAAGAGAUUACUCAGGAAUUCCCAGCCUUGAGAAAUUUGGUGGAGGUUCCUGGAGGCCUCAGAUGAUGGGAGACUGACAGCAGCCCAAGGCCAAGCAGCAGAUGGUGCCCGCGUUCCAGCGGGACUGCAUCAGUGCCGAACACUGGCAGGGCACAGGCUCACCCAGGCUGACCAGCAGCAUGUCACAGCCCCAGUCCACAUGCUGAACCCACCGGCCAAUCACCACAGGUCCCGGCUCAUUGUUUUCUUGAGUUCA
This 651-nucleotide long non-coding RNA is filed under the name Fukomys damarensis (Damara mole-rat). RNAcentral's name for it is "lncRNA (ENSFDAG00000028710.1)". Lineage: Eukaryota; Metazoa; Chordata; Mammalia; Rodentia; Bathyergidae. The record is from RNAcentral.